Jaculus jaculus (lesser Egyptian jerboa) is the source of this 76-nucleotide small nucleolar RNA. The record is from RefSeq and is a predicted model, not a curated record. NCBI's taxonomy places the organism in Eukaryota, Metazoa, Chordata, Mammalia, Rodentia, Dipodidae.
UGUUCUAGAAAACAAAACAUUGCUGCAGCCUCCUGACUGUGCAGUGGGGAAGCCAACCUCGAGAGCCAAGUGUGCA